AUGAACGCUGGCGGCGUGCCUAAUACAUGCAAGUCGAGCGAACAGAUAAGGAGCUUGCUCCUUUGAAGUUAGCGGUGGACGGGUGAGUAACACGUGGGUAACCUACCUAUAAGACUGGGAUAACUUCGGGAAACCGGAGCUAAUACCGGAUAACAUUUAGAACCGCAUGGUUCUAAAGUGAAAGAUGGUUUUGCUAUCACUUAUAGAUGGACCCGCGCCGUAUUAGCUAGUUGGUAAGGUAACGGCUUACCAAGGCGACGAUACGUAGCCGACCUGAGAGGGUGAUCGGCCACACUGGAACUGAGACACGGUCCAGACUCCUACGGGAGGCAGCAGUAGGGAAUCUUCCGCAAUGGGCGAAAGCCUGACGGAGCAACGCCGCGUGAGUGAUGAAGGGUUUCGGCUCGUAAAACUCUGUUAUUAGGGAAGAACAAAUGUGUAAGUAACUGUGCACAUCUUGACGGUACCUAAUCAGAAAGCCACGGCUAACUACGUG
RNAcentral lists this ribosomal RNA (496 nucleotides) under uncultured bacterium. Its description in RNAcentral is "partial 16S ribosomal RNA". It matches the Rfam family "Bacterial small subunit ribosomal RNA", at positions 29 to 507 of the family's 1533-position model. The record is from RNAcentral.